UACGUAGGUGGCAAGCGUUAUCCGGAUUUAUUGGGCGUAAAGGGAACGCAGGCGGUCUUUUAAGUCUGAUGUGAAAGCCUUCGGCUUAACCGGAGUAGUGUAUUGGAAACUGGUAGACUUGAGUGCAGGAGAGGAGAGUGGAAUUCCAUGUGUAGCGGUGAAAUGCGUAGAUAUAUGGAGGAACACCGGUGGCGAAAGCGGCUCUCUGGCCUGUAACUGACACUGAGGCUCGAAAGCGUGGGGAGCAAACAGG
RNAcentral lists this ribosomal RNA (253 nucleotides) under uncultured bacterium. RNAcentral's name for it is "partial 16S ribosomal RNA". It matches the Rfam family "Bacterial small subunit ribosomal RNA", at positions 524 to 776 of the family's 1533-position model. The record is from RNAcentral.